UUACUCCUACGGGAGGCAGCAGGCGGAAUUUUAGAUAAUGGAGGCAACUCUGAUCUAGCGACGCCGCGUGCAGGAAGAAGGUCUUCGGAUUGUAAACUGCUGUGGUAAGGGAAAAAUGUCAUGUAGAGUGGAAAGCUACAUGGAGGGAUGGUACCUUACUAGAAAGCCCCGGCUAACUACGUGCCAGCAGCCGCGGUAAUAA
This 202-nucleotide ribosomal RNA is filed under the name uncultured Mesotoga sp. Its description in RNAcentral is "partial 16S ribosomal RNA". It matches the Rfam family "Bacterial small subunit ribosomal RNA", at positions 333 to 526 of the family's 1533-position model. Lineage: Bacteria; Thermotogati; Thermotogota; Thermotogae; Kosmotogales; Kosmotogaceae. The record is from RNAcentral.